Acinonyx jubatus (cheetah) is the source of this 3747-nucleotide long non-coding RNA. RefSeq lists it as uncharacterized. The record is from RefSeq and is a predicted model, not a curated record. The transcript is spliced from 3 exons. Lineage: Eukaryota; Metazoa; Chordata; Mammalia; Carnivora; Felidae.
CCGACCGGGCCCGAGGCCACCAGCCUGGGCCUCCCGUCCUCCCGGAGUUCACAGUGACGGGCAUGCAAGACGCCAGCGAUUUCCAAAGCAGUGCCGGAGAGCAGGGUGGGUGUGGCUAGGUGGCACACGGUCGGAGCCAAAAGGGAGGCCCAGGUGGCCCUCCCUGGGCCCCAGUUGGCAUCGCCAGGCAGGCUCCAGGCCGUCCCCGUAUUGUGGUGAGGAACUGAGGACAACAUCCUCCAAGCACGGACAGCAGGAGAGGGGUGUUCAGACUAGAAAUGAUGACCACUUGUGACCCCAGCUCUGCGUGACCUGGGGCCAGCAAGCUGCUCCCAAGCCUCUGUUUUGUCAUCUGUGGAAUGGGAACAAUCCCGGCCCCCACUCCCCGGUGGCAGCGAGGAUCAGAUAUCAUUCCUGUGUGUUCCCCUGAAAGCUGGCGUGCCCGACGGAUGGGGGCACUCCACAGAGAAGGUGUGAUGUGGCUGGCACUGUCGAUGGACGCCCGCAGAGGUGAGGCGGAUGGGAACCAGGUGCCCCGGAUGCCUCUGUGGGCUGUGCACCCGGCUGACUCUGGACCCCAGCUGCGGCAGCCGCUGGCACUUUGCGGGAGGCUGGAGCGGGCAGGGCCCCGCAGAUCCCGGAACAGCAGCGCCCCGCUUCCCUGCAUCCCGCCUCGAUGUAAACACGGUUGGGAACAUUUCAGGACCGCGACAGCAAGAAAAACAAACCCGCGGAACCCAGACAACGAGCGCAAAUGCUAACUUUCAUGUCACAUCCAGAAACCACGUGUUCAUCGGGCCACCUGCGGGCUUGCGGCUCAGCGGGGAGGUGCAGGGUUGUUGUGUUUAGAAACCAAGCUAGGGGCACAGCUGCGGGCGCCACCUCCCUCCGUCCUCCCAGACACGGCCCUUGAGGCCGCCUGGACGUCGGUGUGGGGAUGGGCACCCAUGCCUCUGGCUUUUAAGUCGCCUGGGAGUCAGUGGAGCGGAGGGGGAGGGUCCUGUCACUGCGGGCCCCACCUUGGGCACCUCUCCGUGCUCAGCGGGGCCUGGCAAAGGCCUGAGGUCACCUGGCCAGUGAGUGGCAGACUUAGAACUCACGCCAGGACCCCCGACUCCCCAGACCCACUCUCUUCCCGCUACCCCCGGCUGACUGGCCACCGUCCUACUCAGGCAAACCGACUACCUAUGGGCUUGGGGAGGGCUCCAGAUCCCUCCUACCCUUUGAGACAGCGAUGCUGAGAAGUGUUAUUUUUAUUCGUCCCCAAGCCUUGCCAGAUUACAUUGUCAAGGCCAGCACUUUGGAGAUAUUCCCUUGGUUUCGCAAUUCACGCAGUGACUAACACAUGUUACAUUUUGAAAACCUCUCUUGGUAAAAAUUUAAGCUGACUUGUAAAUACAUAAAAGUCUCGAUGUUAAUGGGGUGCAUGAUUUCUCGGUGGCUGUUUUGUAAUCCCAAGAUUCCAAAGGGAUGUGGAAUUCUAUAAAAAUGGAGAACGAGAACCCUCCCAGAGCCGCCCUUUGGAACCAUCACUACGGGCAGCGGAACAGCCCUUACAUCUGUCCGUCGUUACAGAAGUUACAAAAUCACUUCCCGUUUCCUGCCCCAGGCAGGGCAGGACACUUCCGGGGGGUGGUCCGAGCAGGGAGAGCAGAGAAGCCCGGAGCGGAGGAUCGGGGUCCCUCCACGGGGCAGGAGCGCACGCAGGCUCUGAAACCAUCCAUAGGGCAGUUGGACGCGCUGUCUACACAUGGCUCUCCCGAGUGGCAUCUUCCAAGAGCCCUUUGCCGCUCCGGGCCCCUCCCCCGCCGCCUCCCACCCCUGCGAACGGGCCUGUUUCUGCGAGCACUGAAGACGGGAAACACGCGAUCUUGAAUGUGUCUCUUUCACGCUCACACGUUUUUUUCGUUGUGCAUCUUGGCUGAUCCAUGAUUUAAGAUCCCCAGCAACUGUUUCCAGCACAAAUUUAUGACUAGACGGUGCUGGAAGUCAGGCGUCCAAAGUGGCCUCGCUGGGCUAGAACCAAGAUGUCGCAGAGCCAGCUCCUUCUGGAGGCUCUAGCGGGAGCAUCCGUUUCCCGGCCACGGCCAGCUUCUGGAGGCGCCCGCAUCCCUCGCUCCCAGCGCCAUUCUCCGUCUUUGAGUCGUAGCAUUACGACCUCCGCUUCCCUCAUCAUCACAUCUCCUUUUCCCUGACUCUGAGCCCCUCCUCACCUACAUCCCUCCUUCCCUUAUGAGCACCCUCGAGGUCACGAUGGUCCACCCGGGGCAAUCCGUCCCUGUCUCAUCCGAGUCGCCCCAGGGCCUGUACUCAGCCGAGCACAGGACACGCACCUGCUCACAGCUCACAGGCCGUUGGCUCCCGGGUCCCGCCGGACUUCCCAAAGCGACGUAUGAAGUCGCAGGACACAAGUAUCCGCCCCAGGUCACAGGUGGAAAGCUGAGGCGUGUGCAGCAGGGAAGGGGUGCACAGGGGCCCUGCGGGGCCUGUGGCCGCUGGUGGUGAACCCGCGGCACACAGCGGGCAUCUGGGCCUCGAGGCAAACGGCCACAAGUACGCGAGGACGGGUCGAGAAUCCCUCCCGCGGUACGGGUCCACGGCGCAGGCACUUUGGGGUUUGGAACAGAGGGUCUCGUUUCUCCCCCAGACUCACCUCUUCCCCAUGGGGCUGCCCGAGGGAAGAGCACGGGACAAAGGGGCAGACAGACCCGGGCAAUGCACGCGUGCGCACACGCACGUGGGCGGCUGAACAUCCCGAGCCUCAGAUCCCACCUCACUAUGGACUAUGAGCGGGUUGACGUGUGCACGUUCCAAGCCCUGGGCCUCGGAGAAAGGGGCAGAGCAUGACUUCUCUGCUUGGCCCUGGCUGGAAUGCAGACGGGAUGGAGGGAGCUGCCGCAGCCAUCUGAGACCAUGAGCUCAGAGUUUCUUGUGGAGGACAGAGCAGCGGGCUCCCCGGCGUCUAGGCUUCUGACGUCCCGGUGGCUCCACAUCCAGAACCGCCUGUGUUUGGACUGAAGUGGGAGAAAGAAAGAAACGUCCAUCAUGUUUAAGCCACUCUCUGGGGGCAUCUUUGUUCUAGCAGCAAGCAUGAACAGCAUCCCGACUGAUACAGAUUCGGGCACACAGAAGGGACGGGCGCUGCUCUUGUAGCUAAAUCCCCCUCGGUCUGGCCUCCGUGGUCCAGGACACAGGUGUUGUGAGCUGGAAAGCUGUCGCCAGCCCCCCACCCCCACCCCGCCGUGCUGUGAUCUUGCCCUAAAAGUGCUCCCUCAGACGCAUAGAAGGCAGACCACAUCGCGAUGGCCCCUGGAACUCUUAGGACUGGCUUGAGAGACUCAUAAUGUUGGGGUGGGUGGGGAGGGUGCUUCCUGACUUUGGGAACUGAUCUGGGAGAGUCACCAGAUGGCUUUGGAGACACAGUCUCGGUGGAAGAGAAGAGGUUGGUCCCAGGAGGCAUCCCCAGCAGGACAGGGGGGCCGGCCCUGGGGCCGCGAUCUGAAUGGAGUGCUGUCCCCCUGGCCAAGCCUGUUGAUUCCGGGGACAGCAAGGCAGUAGCUCUUGAAUGAGCAAGAUAAGUCAACAGCAAGAUGGGCCUGGAAAGAAGAGACCAACUUCGUGAGAAUAAAAAGCCAGGUCUGGACAAGAUCUCUAGGUGGGGUUACAUGCAACAUGGCACUAACCGGUUGUAAAUAGACCAGCAGUUGACUAGUUUUAGAAGGAAUUGUAUUUCCAAAUAAACCCCAA